CCUACGGGAGGCAGCAGUAGGGAAUAUUGCUCAAUGGGGGCAACUCUGAAGCAGCAACGCCGCGUGGAGGAUGAAGGCUUUCGGAUUGUAAACUCCUUUUGUUAGGGAAGAUAAUGAAGGUAUACAACUAAAAAGAGCCGGCUAACGCCGUGCUAGCAGCGGCGGUAAUACGGAGGGGUCAAGCGUUAUCCGGAUUUACUGGGCGUAAAGAGCGCGUAGGCGGGCUAGCAAGUCAGAUGUGAAACCCUAUGGCUCAACCAUAGAAAUGCAUUUGAAACUGUUAUUCUUGAGUAUGGGAGAGGUAGGCGGAAUUCUUGGUGUAGCGGUAAAAUCCGUAGAGAUCAGGAAGAAUACCCAUUGCGAAGGCGACUUACUAGAACAUAACUGACGCUGAUGCGCGAAAGCGUGGGGAGCAAACAGGAUUAGAUACCCGUGUAGUC
RNAcentral lists this ribosomal RNA (440 nucleotides) under uncultured bacterium. RNAcentral describes it as "partial 16S ribosomal RNA". It matches the Rfam family "Bacterial small subunit ribosomal RNA", at positions 338 to 795 of the family's 1533-position model. The record is from RNAcentral.